UAUUUAAAUACCUGGUAUCUUAGGCAUAGGUUAAGUACACCAAUAUUUUCCUUUCGAACUUGGUAGUUAAAGUCUAUUGCGGUAAAAAUACUGUGGGAAGGGUCCUACGGAAAAAAAGCUUGAUGCCAGAAU
RNAcentral lists this ribosomal RNA (132 nucleotides) under Gastrodia shimizuana. Lineage: Eukaryota; Viridiplantae; Streptophyta; Magnoliopsida; Asparagales; Orchidaceae. The record is from RNAcentral.